AAUCAACGCUGGCGGCGUGCCUCAGACAUGCAAGUCGAACGAGAAAGUCCCCUUCGGGGGAUAAGUAAAGUGGCGCACGGGUGAGUAACACGUAGGUAAUCUACCUUCGGGUGGGGAAUAACCCAGGGAAACUUGGGCUAACACCGCAUAAUGCAGCGGCACUACAUGGUGACAGUUGUUAAAGCGGGGGAUUUUCGGACCUCGCGCCUGAAGAGGAGCCUGCGGCGGAUUAGCUAGUUGGUAAGGAACGGCUUACCAAGGCAACGAUCCGUAGCCGGCCUGAGAGGGCGGUCGGCCACACUGACACUGACAUACGGGUCAGACUCCUACGGGAGGGCAGCAGUCGGGAAUUUUGGGCAAUGGGCGAAAGCCUGACCCAGCAACGCCGCGUGAAGGAUGAAAUCCCUCGGGAUGUAAACUUCGCAAGAAUAGGGAAGAAUUAGCGAGCGCUAAUACCGCUCGUGAUGAC
RNAcentral lists this ribosomal RNA (469 nucleotides) under uncultured bacterium. Its description in RNAcentral is "bacterial SSU rRNA". It matches the Rfam family "Bacterial small subunit ribosomal RNA", at positions 32 to 473 of the family's 1533-position model. The record is from RNAcentral.